RNAcentral lists this small nuclear RNA (195 nucleotides) under uncultured Mamiellales. RNAcentral's name for it is "partial Dictyostelium signal recognition particle". The record is from RNAcentral. Lineage: Eukaryota; Viridiplantae; Chlorophyta; Mamiellophyceae; Mamiellales.
UUAUCUCUGAGUACUACUUGCACAAUUCGAAGAAGAGUAUUUUCCCCUCAAAUGAUGUUGGAGCCGGUGGUGAAAAGUACGUCUUUCACAAUAUCAUCUUCAAAUUCUGUACAGCACAGAAGACAGGGCUCUUUGAAGAUGAUGCCUACGCAGCCAAGGUUGCUGCUCACGAACUGAUCGGCUUGCAAUCUUACU